AUGAAUUUACGAGUAAAAUGUGCGCUCGUUUCUGCUUCGUUUUCUUUACGAGUACACCACCAUGUUUCCUCCAAAUAUCCGCCGAAAGGCACUAGUUUCGGCUUAAAGGCAGGGCAAACCAUACAAGUUGGUGAUUUAAUGAAGCUUUCGUCAAAACAGUUUAUUUCCACAAUUUGGGAUUCCCUAAAUGUGCCGUUUACAUAUGGGGAAGGUAGCAAAAUUCUGAUUAGGCUUGGAGGAAACAUGGUGGUGUUAGGUUGCAGCUGGGCAAGGCGGAAAUCCAGCCGCAGGAGAAAGAAAGAAGGAAAAGAAAGGAGGGAGAUAGGUUUUGCAGUUGCAAAGCAGAGACUGAGGGAUUGGCGGAGUCGGUUGGUUUAAUAUGAGGAGACGGUGAUGGUGGGUUAGAGUACUUCAGACGACAAUGGACCUGACACCGAGCUUGAACGCAACGACUCUGACCUCAACGAUCCUCUCUGGAGCGCCUAAUGCUUCCUCACUUCUGCUCACCUCAUUCGCACGCGUAGCAUAAUCUUGAACUCCUUUUGGAAGGAAGUCAAAACCAACUACUGUUUACAAGCAUUUCCCAAUUGCUUGAAAUUGCUUUGAAUCAGGUUCUUCCAUGGAUGUCUCUGACCUUUCAAUUUCCUAGCAUCACUUCGUAUCUCAACCUACGUUCUGCUAAGUUUUCAGCAAAUGGGUCUCGUUGGAAGCUGUUCUAGUUCAAUAACUUGGUGAUUUGUGUUGGGGAAGAUAUUUUCUUUUUUUUCAAUCUUUGGUGAUUUGUGUGGUUUGAUAGUAUUUGUUCUUUUUGUUUUUUUUUUUUAGUAUAGUGAUUUGGGAAACCUCUUCUUUUCAAAUUAAUAUAUUUUGCUUUGUUUCAUCUUGCAGGUGCAGCUGAGACCUUAUAACCCAUAUGUUAUUUAUGAGUCUCUAGUGUGGACUAAGAGUGCGGGCAUAGGUGGCGGUUUCAGAACUGUUGGGAUGGUUAAUAACGUUCACUUGGAUUGUCUGCCCUCUAAUUUUGGAGGGCACGGGGAGGGCACCGAAAUGGGAGGGCAGACAAUCCAAGUCCUCACUUUAAUCUGGAUGAUUUUCAUGGUAACAAGAAAUCUGGGGGUGUUCAUGAUGGCACUACCAUAGUCCUGUGAAAUAAAAUAAAAGGAGAUAA
RNAcentral lists this small RNA (1168 nucleotides) under Malus domestica (apple). RNAcentral's name for it is "sRNA MD07G0075700". The record is from RNAcentral. Lineage: Eukaryota; Viridiplantae; Streptophyta; Magnoliopsida; Rosales; Rosaceae.